CUACGGGAGGCAGCUUUUGGGGAAUAUUGGACAAUGAGCGAAAGCCUGAUCCAGCANUGCCGCGUGAGUGAUGAAGGCCUUAGGGUUGUAAAGCUCUUUUACCCGGGAUGAUAAUGACAGUACCGGGAGAAUAAGCCCCGGCUAACUCCGUGCCAGCAGCCGCGGUAAUACGGAGGGGGCUAGCGUUGUUCGGAAUUACUGGGCGUAAAGCGCACGUAGGCGGCCUUUUAAGUCAGGGGUGAAAUCCCGGGGCUCAACCCCGGAACUGCCCUUGAAACUGGGAGGCUAGAAUCUUGGAGAGGCGAGUGGAAUUCCGAGUGUAGAGGUGAAAUUCGUAGAUAUUCGGAAGAACACCAGUGGCGAAGGCGACUCGCUGGACAAGUAUUGACGCUGAGGUGCGAAAGCGUGGGGAGCGAACAGGAUUAGAUACCCUGGUAGUCCACGCCGUAAACGAUGAUAACUAGCUGUCCGGGUUCAUGGAACUUGGGUGGCGCAGCUAACGCAUUAAGUUAUCCGCCUGGGGAGUACGGUCGCAAGAUUAAAACUCAAAGGAAUUGACGGGGGCCUGCACAAGCGGUGGAGCAUGUGGUUUAAUUCGAAGCAACGCGCAAAACCCUACCAGCCUUUGACAUCCUGGGACGGCUUCUGGAGACAGAUUCCUUCCCUUCGGGGACCUAGAGACAGGUGCUGCAUGGCUGUCGUCAGCUCGUGUCGUGAGAUGUUGGGUUAAGUCCCGCAACGAGCGCAACCCUCAUCCUUAGUUGCCAUCAUUCAGUUGGGCACUUUAAGGAAACUGCCGGUGAUAAGCCGGAGGAAGGUGGGGAUGACGUCAAGUCCUCAUGGCCCUUACAGGCUGGGCUACACACGUGCUACAAUGGCAACUACAGUGGGCAGCUAUCCCGCGAGGGUGCGCUAAUCUCCAAAAGUUGUCUCAGUUCGGAUUGUUCUCUGCAACUCGAGAGCAUGAAGGCGGAAUCGCUAGUAAUCGCGGAUCAGCAUGCCGCGGUGAAUACGUUCCCAGGCCUUGCACACACCGCCCGUCA
RNAcentral lists this ribosomal RNA (1043 nucleotides) under uncultured Alphaproteobacteria bacterium. RNAcentral's name for it is "bacterial SSU rRNA". It matches the Rfam family "Bacterial small subunit ribosomal RNA", at positions 339 to 1399 of the family's 1533-position model. The record is from RNAcentral. Lineage: Bacteria; Pseudomonadati; Pseudomonadota; Alphaproteobacteria.